This is a non-coding RNA of Bacillus anthracis str. 'Ames Ancestor', 67 nucleotides long. NCBI's taxonomy places the organism in Bacteria, Bacillati, Bacillota, Bacilli, Caryophanales, Bacillaceae. The record is from Rfam.
CCUGUGGAGUGUUAGAUCAAACUGUAGUAGCGAGUGGUUGGCAAGGCAGGACACGUAGAAGCAGGAA